CCAUGUCAGAACGGGGGAACCUGUAACCCUUCUUCGGAACCAAGUCUUCCCUUCACAUGUAACUGCCAAGUUGGGUACACAGGCCAGCUGUGUCAAUCAGAUCUAUGCGCUGAUAACCAGUGUCAGAACGGAGGAUUUUGCAUUCCUUUCCCAGGUUCCAGCCCUCCAUACUUCUGUAACUGUCCAGGAGGGUAUAACGGUCAAUUCUGUCAAACAGCUUUAGAUCCAUGUGCCAGUAGCCCAUGUCAGAACGGGGGAACCUGUAAUUCUCCGGGACCAAGUCUUCCCUUCACCUGUAACUGCCCAGUCGGAUACACAGGCCAGCUGUGUCAAUCAGGUCGGAUAUCUCAAUCACUUGAAUUCAGGUCAAUCAGAGA
Molecule: long non-coding RNA, 377 nt
Organism: Strongylocentrotus purpuratus (purple sea urchin)
Lineage: Eukaryota; Metazoa; Echinodermata; Echinoidea; Camarodonta; Strongylocentrotidae
Exons: 3
Source: RefSeq, a predicted model, not a curated record